Molecule: non-coding RNA, 24 nt
Filed under: Arabidopsis thaliana (thale cress)
Lineage: Eukaryota; Viridiplantae; Streptophyta; Magnoliopsida; Brassicales; Brassicaceae
Source: RNAcentral
AACAUAAAAGUGUGAUUCUAGUGU